CAAAAACCAGAAUUUAUAAUAUCGUUUAUAAUGGGCAUGAUUUGGGUUGUCGGUGUAUUCCUUCUAAUCUAUUGGAAUUUUAUAGCAAAUACUAAGAAGAGACAAAAAUAUAUAAAUAU
This is a non-coding RNA of Streptococcus pseudopneumoniae IS7493, 119 nucleotides long. The record is from Rfam. NCBI's taxonomy places the organism in Bacteria, Bacillati, Bacillota, Bacilli, Lactobacillales, Streptococcaceae.